UACGAAGGGGGCUAGCGUUGUUCGGAUUUACUGGGCGUAAAGCGCACGUAGGCGGAUCGAUCAGUCAGGGGUGAAAUCCCAGAGCUCAACUCUGGAACUGCCUUUGAUACUGUCGAUCUGGAGUAUGGAAGAGGUGAGUGGAAUUCCGAGUGUAGAGGUGAAAUUCGUAGAUAUUCGGAGGAACACCAGUGGCGAAGGCGGCAUCCUGGACCGGUACUGACGCUGAGGCGCGAAAGCGUGGGGAGCAAACAGG
This 253-nucleotide ribosomal RNA is filed under the name uncultured bacterium. Its description in RNAcentral is "partial 16S ribosomal RNA". It matches the Rfam family "Bacterial small subunit ribosomal RNA", at positions 524 to 776 of the family's 1533-position model. The record is from RNAcentral.